CGAACGGAAAGGCCCUUCGGGGUGCUCGAGUGGCGAACGGGUGAGUAACACGUGGGUGAUCUGCCCUGCACUUUGGGAUAAGCCUGGGAAACUGGGUCUAAUACCGAAUAGGACUCCGGACUGCAUGGUCUGGGGUGGAAAGCUUUUGCGGUGUGGGAUGGGCCCGCGGCCUAUCAGCUUGUUGGUGGGGUGAUGGCCUACCAAGGCGACGACGGGUAGCCGGCCUGAGAGGGUGACCGGCCACACUGGGACUGAGAUACGGCCCAGACUCCUACGGGAGGCAGCAGUGGGGAAUAUUGCACAAUGGGCGCAAGCCUGAUGCAGCGACGCCGCGUGAGGGAUGACGGCCUUCGGGUUGUAAACCUCUUUCAGCACAGACGAAGCGCAAGUGACGGUAUGUGCAGAAGAAGGACCGGCCAACUACGUGCCAGCAGCCGCGGUAAUACGUAGGGUCCGAGCGUUGUCCGGAAUUACUGGGCGUAAAGAGCUCGUAGGUGGUUUGUCGCGUUGUUCGUGAAAACUCACAGCUUAACUGUGGGCGUGCGGGCGAUACGGGCAGACUGGAGUACUGCAGGGGAGACUGGAAUUCCUGGUGUAGCGGUGGAAUGCGCAGAUAUCAGGAGGAACACCGGUGGCGAAGGCGGGUCUCUGGGCAGUAACUGACGCUGAGGAGCGAAAGCGUGGGGAGCGAACAGGAUUAGAUACCCUGGUAGUCCACGCCGUAAACGGUGGGUACUAGGUGUGGGUUUCCUUCCU
RNAcentral lists this ribosomal RNA (756 nucleotides) under Mycobacterium sp. RNAcentral describes it as "bacterial SSU rRNA". It matches the Rfam family "Bacterial small subunit ribosomal RNA", at positions 63 to 836 of the family's 1533-position model. The record is from RNAcentral. Lineage: Bacteria; Bacillati; Actinomycetota; Actinomycetes; Mycobacteriales; Mycobacteriaceae.